CCUACGGGAGGCAGCAGUGAGGAAUAUUGGUCAAUGGACGAGAGUCUGAACCAGCCAAGUAGCGUGAAGGAUGACUGCCCUAUGGGUUGUAAACUUCUUUUAUAAAGGAAUAAAACGAGGCACGUGUGCCUUUUUGCAUGUACUUUAUGAAUAAGGAUCGGCUAACUCCGUGCCAGCAGCCGCGGUAAUACGGAGGAUCCGAGCGUUAUCCGGAUUUAUUGGGUUUAAAGGGAGCGUAGAUGGGUUGUUAAGUCAGUUGUGAAAGUUUGCGGCUCAACCGUAAAAUUGCAAUUGAUACUGGCAGUCGUGAGUACAGUUGAGGUAGGCGGAAUUCGUGGUGUAUCGGUGAAAUGCUUAGAUAUCACGAAGAACCCCGAUUGCGAAGGCAGCUUACUAAACUGUGACUGACAUUGAUGCUCGAAAGUGUGGGUAUCAAACAGGAUUAGAUACCCGAGUAGUC
RNAcentral lists this ribosomal RNA (460 nucleotides) under uncultured bacterium. Its description in RNAcentral is "partial 16S ribosomal RNA". It matches the Rfam family "Bacterial small subunit ribosomal RNA", at positions 338 to 795 of the family's 1533-position model. The record is from RNAcentral.